UACAGAGGUCCCAAGCGUUGUUCGGAUUCACUGGGCGUAAAGGGUGCGUAGGUGGUGGGGUAAGUCGGAUGUGAAAGCUCGGAGCUCAACUCCGAAAUGGCAUCGGAAACUACCCUGCUAGAGGAUUGGAGGGGGGACUGGAAUACUUGGUGUAGCAGUGAAAUGCGUAGAUAUCAAGUGGAACACCAGUGGCGAAGGCGAGUCCCUGGACAAUUCCUGACACUGAGGCACGAAAGCUAGGGGAGCAAACAGG
RNAcentral lists this ribosomal RNA (253 nucleotides) under uncultured bacterium. RNAcentral's name for it is "partial 16S ribosomal RNA". It matches the Rfam family "Bacterial small subunit ribosomal RNA", at positions 524 to 776 of the family's 1533-position model. The record is from RNAcentral.